This 515-nucleotide ribosomal RNA is filed under the name uncultured bacterium. Its description in RNAcentral is "partial 16S ribosomal RNA". It matches the Rfam family "Bacterial small subunit ribosomal RNA", at positions 28 to 523 of the family's 1533-position model. The record is from RNAcentral.
GAUGAACGCUGGCGGCGUGCCUAAUACAUGCAAGUCGAGCGAAUGGAUUAAGAGCUUGCUCUUAUGAAGUUAGCGGCGGACGGGUGAGUAACACGUGGGUAACCUGCCCAUAAGACUGGGAUAACUCCGGGAAACCGGGGCUAAUACCGGAUAACAUUUUGAACCGCAUGGUUCGAAAUUGAAAGGCGGCUUCGGCUGUCACUUAUGGAUGGGCCCGCGUCGCAUCAGCUAGUUGGUGAGGUAACGGCUCACCAAGGCAACGAUGCGUAGCCGACAUGGGAGGGUGAGCGGCCACACUGGGACUGAGACACGGCCCAGACUCCUACGGGAGGCAGCAGUAGGGAAUCUUCCGCAAUGGACGAAAGUCUGACGGAGCAACGCCGCGUGAGUGAUGAAGGCUUUCGGGUCGUAAAACUCUGUUGUUAGGGAAGAACAAGUGCUAGUUGAAUAAGCUGGCACCUUGACGGUACCUAACCAGAAAGCCACGGCUAACUACGUGCCAGCCGCCGCAGUAA